Molecule: long non-coding RNA, 39726 nt
Filed under: Vitis vinifera (wine grape)
Lineage: Eukaryota; Viridiplantae; Streptophyta; Magnoliopsida; Vitales; Vitaceae
Description: long non-coding RNA (VVIN_LNC000950)
Source: RNAcentral
UGACCAACUUUGAGUUUAAUAUUACUAAUUUGAGUAUAACACUAUCAAUCUAAACUAAUAAAAAUGAAUACAAUUUAAAUUGAGUACCUUUAGAAACUGUGUUGAGUUUGAGGUGAUUGUUCAUUAAUAUCGGUUGACUUUGGGUUAACCAUUAAUCCUGUGCAACUAGCCCAAGGUCGGAUUUAUGGUUAAGCCAAGUUUAACCGGAUCACCCUUAAAAAAUGAGGUUAGAUUAAAUGAUGGUUUAUUAAUUCCAGUAGAGUUUGGAUUAGCCAUCAAUUUGAUUCAAUCUGUCCAAGUUGCAACCCAAUGCUAAUUAACCUCCAUAACCGAAGGUGCUGGCACAGCAGGCCAAUAUGCUCCCCCAUAUCUGCGUAAGCACCAAAGACCCAUAACUGUAAUUCAAAGCUUCCAAACUGACAUCUUUUUUUUUUUUUGCUUUUUUAAUCUGGGACUUGAUACAGCAACUGCCUGCUACGGCAACGAUGUGUCUAAGUUCCCAUCAAGCAACUUAUUUGCGUCAGCCGGAGAUGGGAUAUGGGACAAUGGGGCAGCGUGCGGCAGGCAGUACUUUGUCAUGUGCUUGAGUGCACAAACUCCAGGGACAUGCAAAGCUGGUCAGAUCAUAAAAGUGAAGAUAGUUGAUAAAGCCUCUAGGAAUGGAGUGAUCCUUGUUCUUUCUACUAUUGCAUUUGGGGCUAUUGCUAAUCCUUCUGCUGCUUCGGUUAACGUAGAGUUUACCGAGUAAGUGUCAUCCCUUUUAAUAUUAAUUACAUUGAAUUAUCUUUCAGGUAAUUAAUUUUUUUAAGAAUUAUUUCUGCUGGAAUUUUUAAUGUUCUUGUGUGGUGCUUGAUGUGCGUGCAGGGCUUGAGGGUAUCAAUACGGAUCUACGUCUGAGGGAGGUUUCUUUCUGCUAGUGAGGUUUCCAUUCUAUGUUUUUCUUGUCCACUGCAAACCCUAAGCAAAAGCGAGCGACUUUCGAAUUUCGAUAAAGGUACCAGUUUUAGCUUGAAGUCUUUUAAAUUAAAAUACAUGGAUAUUUGCGAAAUUCAACUUCGGUUUCUGUGAUUACAUGGCUGUGUUUUUAGCAAUGUUUUAAAAACCGGACCGGACCGGCCGGUCCAACCGGUUCAACCGUCGACCGGUCACAUUUCCGGUCCGGUCCUCUCUAUUAAACCGUUAAACUAUUAAACCGGUUACGAACCGCCUGAACCAGCGGUCGAACCGGUGAACCGGUAGAACCGAACGGUUCUAAACAAACCGAACAGUCCAUAUUGGCCCAUCAUUUUGCAAGCCCAUUGUAUAAAAUAUUAAAAGUUGUAGGCCAAAAACCAUACUGGGCCAUGUCUUUGCAUAACAAAGCCCACACCCAAACCAUUUAAGUAGGCUCAAUCAUGAGCCCACAAGGUGGAUGCUGUAGCUUUCAACAAGGAUGCCUUUUAUAGGCAUCCUUUGCACCCUUUUUUCUCUCACAAACCGAUGUGGGAUUGCAAACUAUGAAUGAAAAAAAUUUAACAAAUGCAACAAGAGGAUUUGAAGUUGGGACCUCAGGUUCUGAAGUGCAUUAGGACACCACUCGGCUACACUGAUUUGUUAUUUGAUAUGCCAAACAAAACAAUAUAUAUUGGAUUUUAAUUUUUUUAUAAUAUUAAAUAAAAAUAAUAUAAUAUUUUUAAAAAUUAUAAAUUAGUUAAAAUUUUCAUUUUUAAUAUAUUCACAUUUAAAUAUUGUAUACAUUUCAUUUAAUAUGAUUUAAUUUGAUAAUAUCAAAUAUAUAAAAUAAUAUUAUUGAUGUUUAAUUUAUUCAUAUAUAUUUUAAAAUUUUUAUAAUUAUUUUUAAUUUUAAUAAUAUAUAUAAAUUAUAUAUUUAUGACGUCACCGGUUCGAUAGCGGUUCGACCGCCGGUCCGACCAGUGAACCGUGAACCGGUAACUUUUCCGGUUCGAUCACCGGUCCGGUUCUGAAAACAUUGGUUUUUAGUAAAUCAAUUUAUGUGAGUCUUGCAUUUUGGUGGUUGUGUUAAUAAGUGGAGUUCUUUUGAGUUUUUGAGAGUUGAGGAAUAUCCAGAGGUUAAGCUUUUCCGAUGAGCGGUAAAUGCCAGAACUUUCAUGAUUGUCGUUCAUGCCUUUUUCCGAUGAAGAUCCAGGCCAAUGACUAGCCGUAAAGCACCUAAAUGCCAACCUACCAGAUUCAGUGGUUUUUUUAGGCCUAUACGGCCGGAUAGAAAGGUACUUUCUCUCUCUUUUUGGCCUAUACAUUUUGCUGGGUUGUUAGUUUUAAUGCUUCUUGUGCUAGAUGAAUUCAUUCUCUGCGUAAAAUGGUUACAUGUGAAUGGUUACAUACACGCACACACGCUCUCGAGGUUUUAUGACACCAUAUCAUAAUGUAUGCAAUUAGUUGAGUGAUUUUCGUAGUGAUGGUAAAGCUGGAGGAAAAGAGGAGAUAUUCAACCAAUGUCAUGCAAGAUUAAGAAAUGCCAUUGAACGUGCUUUUGGUGUUGUUAAGUCGUAUUUCCCAAUAUUGAAGAGAAUGACACCUUAUUCGUUUACUACUCAAAACAAAAAUUGUUAUGACAUGCUUCUCCGUUCACAAUUUUCUUCGACAAAUCUCAGUUGCGGAUAGAUUAUUUUCUGAAUAUGACAAUGAAGUGGAGUUGAAAAGUGACAAUGCAAAUCAACUUCAAAACUCAACUACAAGCAGUUUUUUUGCAGCAUCUGAUCAAGAAUUCAUGCAACAGUUCUGAGACCAAAUUGCAAAUGAGCUUUUUCAAGUAUUUUAUUAAUUUGUUAUUUUUAGCUUUUUACCAUCGGAAGAAAUGCAAUGUUUGGAUUUUAACAUAUAAUGUGAUGUCUUUAGAUAUUUGAAAAUAUGUACUUGAAUUGUCAUGUUUUUUCUUUAAUUUGAUUUGGGUUUUAUCAAUCCAUUAUUUUUCAGAUUAUUAAGUUUAAAUAUUUUAUUUUACUUAUGUAAAAAAUAAAUAUGUUAAUUAUUUUUUGUAAGGAUGAUAAUAAUAAAUUAUUUAUUACAAUAAUUUUAUGAUUUUGAACUUUUUAGAAAUAUGUUAAAUUAUAUUUUUUUAAUACAUUAAAUUAUUAAGAUAUUGGUAUUUAGUACAUAAAAAAAAAAUAGCUUAAUAUUUAAUAGAAAUAAAAUAAUAAAAAAAAUAAAAAACUUAAUAUUUAAUACUAUUAAGUAUUAUUUAGUAUUAAGUUAAAUAUUACUUCUAAAAUAGAAUCAAUCUUUUACAUUAAGAAAUCUAUAUGUUUUAUGAUUUUUAGCAUAUCCCAAAAACAUCUAUUUGAUACCUUUAAGACCUAUUUUAUUUCAAUUCAAAAUGUAUUCUUAAAUAGAUUAAAUUUGGUUCUCUGUUUUUUUUUCCCGUAAUUCAUAUGGUAUUUUUUACAAAGCUUUAUACCAUAGAUGACGACCAAUUUGGAAAACUUCACUAGCAAUUUCUAUUAGUGUUGUAUUCUUUAAUUCUAUUCUACCAUUUUGAUACACGCGAUGAUCAAUUAAUUAAAAGCCUGACACAUGGUAAUGUAAGAACCCCUUCAUUUUCGAAGCAGGUUAUGCUUGUUAUUUAGAGCCAUUGCGGGCUCUGGGUAUAUCAGCCACAGUUAUGCAUAACCAGCAGCUUUAGUACCCUAUAUAUGCUUUGGAAAAUGGUUUUGAAUCAUCACCUGAUGCAUAUUCUUGAACCAUAUUGUCCACCUCAAUUGAACUACACCCUGGUGUCUUGUUCAUGUACUUACUACUCAUGAGUUUCCUCAUCCUCGAUACACCAUCCCCCUUUCCCAAGUCUGCAUAAAGAUUUGAAAGCAAGACAUGGUUCCCCGUAUCGUCUGGUUCAAGCUCCAGCAGUAGCAGAUGCUCCAUUGCAAUGGCUGCAAUCUUGAGAUUGCCGUGACUUCUGCAGGAACUCAAUAACAAACCCCAAAUAGCCGAAUUCGGCUUCAUUGGCAUCUUCUUUAUGAGUUCAAAAGCCUGAUCAAGGCGCCCAGAAAGACCAAGAAGAUUGACCAAACAACCAUAAUGCUCAACCCCUGGUUCUAUAUUGUCAUCUCUUUCCAUUGACUCAAAGUACCCCAAUCCCUCAUUCAAAAGGCCAGCAUGGGCACAAGCUGAUAAAAGACCAACAAAGGUGAUGAUGUUGGGUUCCACCUUUGCCUUCUGCAUUUCUUGAAACAAUUCAAUAGCUUCACGAGCUCUUCCAUGAUUUGCUAGCCCUACAAUCAUUGUACUCCCAAGAUAUCACAUCCCUCUCAUUCAUCUGAUCAAACAGGCGACGCCCUUCAUCCAUACUUCCACGUUUUGCAUACACUUCGAUCAAAGCAUUACAAACACAAAUGUCGCGCAAAAACCCGGCUUUAUCUGCAUAAAUACGUAUCCAUUUCCCUAACUCAAGAGCUCCCACCUGGGCACAAGCUGGCAAAACAGAAACAAGACUGAUCUCAUCAAGCUCCAUACCCACCAUUUGCAUUCUCCGGAAAAAUUCCAAUGCGACCAUACCCGGAAACGAUAGCUGUCUUGAGAUUAAAUUUUUAAAAAAUAUUAGUAAAAAAAAAAUCAAUAGUUUGAAAAUUUUACCAAAUCAAAUGUAAAGAGUGAGAAUUUCAAAAAUUAAAUUUAAAAUUAGUGAAAAAUUUAAAUAUCAAAUAAUUGAGAUUAAAUUUUGAAAUUUUGAAUAUUAAGUAUAUUGUGAUAAUUAAUUUAAUUAUUAAUAGGUAAUUAUUAGAGAAUUGCGGGGAGAAAAAUUUGGUAAAAAUUUAUAUUAUAUCAAAUUAUUAUAAUAAAUAAUUAAAAAAAAUUGAAUUUAAUUUUAUAACAAACCAAUUUAGUUUUUAUAAUUGAAAUUAAACUUUAUAGAAUUACAAAACAUCAAACGGAGUUGAAUUGAAAUUAAAUUAUGAUGAGUGAAUUUAAAAAAAAAAUAUAGACAAAAAGGUAAAUUAAUUAAAUGUGAAUUUAGUGAACUCAACUUUUGAAAGUUUGAUGCAACGAAUUUGACAAAUGAAGUAAAUUAAAUAAAGGUUAUAAUAAAUAGUUGAGAAUUUGAUUUUUAUAAAUUGAAUGACUAAAUAAUUUAUAGAAUUAAGUUUUAGAAGAUUGCUUAAAUUUUUGUUGGUAAAUAAAUAUUGGUAAAAUUAAUGAGUUAAAGUUUAUUCUUCAUUCCUUGGAUGUCAAAGAAUUAUUUUAUUUUUUAUACAUUUUACGACAUUGAAAUUUUUUAAGAGUUAAUGAAAUCAUGUCCUAAAUGAAUUUUAGAGUAAAAAUGUUUCAAGUAAUUAAAGUCAAAUCAUUAACUAUUAAAAAAAACCAAAUAAUUUUCACAAUUUUAAUUUUAAAACCAAAAUAAAAAUAAUAAUAAAAGUAGGAAUCAAAUGCAUCCUAGGUUAUAUGUUUUCAGAAAUUAAUGUAAAAAUUCUUUCUUUGGAAUUCAAAGUAGUGUAUUACAAUGAUUUUAAGAAACUUUUUCAACUUAAAAAGUGUUUUUGAAAAAAAAAAUUAUAGAAAAAUUACUCUCUAAAAAUACUUUGAAUUUUAGAGCACAUUUAAUAAUAUUUUUACUCAAAAUAUUUUUAAUGAAAAUAUUUUCUUUGAAAGUAUUAGAAUGUAUUUGAUAAUAAUUUUAAAAAACGUUUUUAUCAUUUUUAAUACUUGAAUAAUAAAAAAUUUCAAGUAUAAGAAAAAUUAAAAACGAUUUUUAAAAUUACUAUUAAACAUGUUUUUAAUAAAAUAAUCAUCUAUAAAAUAUUUAUUCAAAAAAUAUUGUAAGUGAUUUUUUAACUAUAAAAGUGAUUCUUUAGAUUUUUAAAAGUAUUUUCUAAAUUUUAUUAAAUAAAUUUUUUUUUUUCAAAAGCAUUUUUUGCAUACGCUAAAAGGGCUUUCUAGAACCUUGGCGGAACCUACUUUAAUUGAAUUUCGGUCCAAACAUAUUAAGAAAAUACAUUUGAAAAUAUGGAGGUCAAGAAUCUGGAGUGUGGUGUUAGCCAAUGCCUUGAAUGAAUACUUGCGUUGGAGACUAAUUAACUCACAUCACAAAUAAGACAACAAGUGAGAGAAUUGACAAAAAUAAUAAUAUAAUAGAGAAUAUGAUAUCCCAAAAUCAAGCUUCUAUUUCCAUUGUCAUUGUGGUGCCUUGCUUUUCAAUCUACGUGUUAUCUCACCAACCGCCUUUCUACUGUUCUUCUAUUCGUUAACUUCAUGUUACGAGUUCCUAUUCACCAAACUCUUUCAAACUAAUCUUAAUUAUUCAAAACUUACAACCCAUCAACCCUUGGCCACAAGCACACAUGUUUUUCGUGGCUGUUCAAGUUGUCAAACUACCGCACACAAAUGUUUUGAAAAUUAAACAGAAAAAUUUUCAAAUGGUUGGAUUGAUAAUUUUGGUGGAUUUGAUAAUUUUGUUUCAUUGAUAUAGUUAGCAAUCCCACAUGGAAUUCUGAGAGGAAUAAGGAUGCCUUGUGGGCUCAAGACUCAGCCCCAAAUGGUUGGGUUGGGUGUGGUCAUGAUAAGAGAGGCCCAAGCCCAAGCAUGGGCUUUUGCCAAAAUUUUUAUACAAUGGAGCUUUACAUAUAAUUGGAAGCAGGGCACAAAUGGCCGGUGGGAAGGGUGGGUGGGGGACCUUAGAUCAGUUGAAUAACACCAAAGAUAACGAACUUGAAUAACACCAAAAAGUUGAACUGUUGGCCCCACCUACUUCUCCAAGAGUUCAAGUUGGUCAAGUGUACCAAAAAAAAAAACAAAAUUGUGAAACUAAAUAAUAUAUGGUGAAGGUAUGGCAUAUUUACUAUUGUAUUCUGAAAACCAUUAGAGAGACACAUGUCGGAGAGAGAGAGUGAACACCUCCGAUUGGCCUUGCUUUUCAUAUUAUCAGGGCUUCUUCAUGUCUGCUCAGGAGAUGUUGGCACAGCAGGCCAAUAUACACCCCCAUAUCUGCGUAAGUGCCAAAGACCCAUAACUGCAAUUCAAAGCUUCCAACACAUACUUUUUUUUCUUUUUCUUUUUUUAAUUUGGGGAAUGAUACAGCAACUGAGUGCUACGGCAACGAUGUGUCUAAGUUCCCAUCAAGCAACUUAUUCGCGUCGGCCGGAAAUGGGAUAUGGGACAAUGGGGCAGCGUGCGGCAGGCAGUACUUUGUCAGGUGCUUGAGCGCGCAAACUCCAGGGACAUGCAAAGCUGGUCAGGUCAUAAAAGUGAAAAUAGUUGAUAGAGCCUCUAGGAGUGGAGAGAUCCUUGUUCUUUCUACUAUUGCAUUUGGGGCUAUUGCUAAUCCUUCUGCUGCUUGGGUUAGCAUAGAGUUUGCAGAGUAAGUGUCAUCCCUUUUAAUAUUAAUUACAUUGAAUGAUCUUUCAGGUAAUUAAUUUUUUUUUAAAAUUAUUUCUGCUGGAAUUUUUAAUGUUCUUGUGGGCCGCUUGAUGUGCGUGCAGGGCUUGAAGGAGGGAGCUCUUUGUAGAUCGGAUGGGUUUGCGAUGAGGGAGAAGGUUUUUUGGUUUUUCUUAAUGUUUUGGAUCCUUUUGUAAGGGGGUGAGUGGUUUUUUUGUGUUUCUUCGUUGUUUUGGAUCUUUUUGUAAAGGGUGAGUGUCUCUAUACCGCAAUUCUGUGGGUUGCUUCAAUGCAAUACAAUCCUCACAAAUAAAUAAAUAAAUAAAGUCUUGAGGGAGCUGCCUUUUUGCUAAUGAGGUUUCCAUUCUAUGUUUUUAGCUCGAGGUCUUUCAAUUUCGGUUUCUGUGAUCACAUCGCUGUGUUUUUUUUUAAAUCAAUGUAUGUGAGUCUUGCGUUUUGGUGGUUGUGUUACAUAAGUGGAGUUCUUUUGAGUUUUUGAGAGUUGAGGAAUAUCCAGAGGUUAAGCUUUUCCGAUGAGCGGUAAAUCCCGGAAUUUUCAUGAUUGUCGUUCAUGCCUUUUCCGAUGAAGAUCCAGGCCAAUGACUAGCCGUAAAGCAUCUAAAUGCCAGUGUUUUUUUUUUUUUUUGGCCUAGUGCAACCCAACUUGUAUGUGAUGACAAAUUACAUUUCAAAGCGGUGGGGCCACCAAGGCGCCGACCUUGUCCAAUUAUCUUAGGCUUUUUUUUUUCUUUUGUUAUUAUUAUAGUAUGGUAAAAAUAUUGCUUCAAAAUAAUUCUUAGGUUCAACCUUUUCCAUUUUCUUCUUGAUUUUGAUUUAUCUAAUAUUUUUAGAUCUUGAUUAUCAAUUUUUUUUUUUGUUGAGAAUUUUCUUUAUUAUUUUCUAAAAUUGAAUCUUUCAAUUCCUUGUUUGGUUCUAAACAAUGAAUGUCUUUAAUUACUAAAUAUUGGUAAAAUUAUGCUGAUAUUGCUUCUAAAAUAGAAUCAAUCUUUUAUGUUAAGAAAUCUACAUGUUUUAUGAUUUUUAGCAUAUCCCAAAAACAAAUGAAUUCUUUCAAGUAUUUAAUUAACUUGUCAUUUUUAGUUUUUUACUAUUAUAAAAAAUGUAAUGUUUAGAUAUUCACAUAAAAUAUGAUAUCUUUGGAUAUUUGAAAAUAUGUACUUGAAUUGUUAUGUUUUUUUUUCUUUAAUUUGAUUUAGGUUUUAUCAAUUCAUUAUUUUAAAUAUUUUAUUUUAAUUAUAUAAAAAAUAAAUAUAUUAAUUAUUUUUUGUAAGGAUGAUAUUGACAAAUUAUUUAUUAUAAUAAUUUUAUUAUUUUUAAUUUUUUAAAAAUACUUUAAAUUAUAUAUUUUUUAAUAUAUUAAAAUAUUAAGAUAUUGAUUUUUAGUAUAUAAAAAAAUAAAUAGUUUAAUAUUUAAUAAAAAUAAAAUAUUCAAAAGACAAACAACUUAAUACCAUUAAAUAAUAUUUAGUAUUAAAGUGUCAUUUAUUUUUUUACUUAAUUUAAAUAGAAUUUUAAUGUUUAAUAAUGUUAAAUAUUAGAUUGUUUGUGUUUAUAAUAUUUUAUUUGUAUUAAGUAUUAAAAAAAAUUAAUAUAUUAUUUUUUUUAUUUAAAAAAAGUUAUAUAUUUUAGUUUUUUUAUUUAAUAAAAAAUUUAUAAUAAAUUAUAAAAAAAAACAAAAAAAAUAAAAACCAAACCACCGAAAACAAAUUAUUUUCAAUAAAAAUUCUCAUAAACAAACAAUAGCUGAAUCAGCUGAUAGGUACUCACGCUGCUGAUUAUUGAGUCAAUGAUGGGGCUCUGACCCAGUUCCAUAAAGGGUUGUACGAGUUCUCAGAAUGGAUUGACAAUUGCUUACACCUCCAAAGCUGAUAGGUACUCACGCUGCUGAUUAUUGAGUCAAUGAUGGGGCUCUGACCCAGUUCCAUAAAGGGUUGUACGAGUUCUCAGAAUGGAUUGACAGCUUACACCUCCAAAGCUGAUAGGUACUCACGCUGCUGAUUAUUGAGUCAAUGAUGGGGCUCUGACCCAGUUCCAUAAAGGGUUGUACGAGUUCUCAGAAUGGAUUGACAACUGCUUACACCUCCAAAAACCCUUUUUCUCCGUUGCUGAUGCAAGCAUCUCGCUGUCUUUCACUCAACCCCCCCUUUGUUAUUCCCGUGUCUCUAGCUCCUUCAUCUGUCUCUCUGUCUCUCUGCCGCCAUAAGACAAUGGAGGUGGUGCAAGUGGCUGGAGUUAAAACCCCUUCUGCAUUCAUUUCCAAAUCCCUAUCACACGCUUCCAAGCACGCCUUACGGUAAAAACCCACGUCACUCCCACCACAUCCCUAUCCCACUCAGACCACUCUCUGCACAACCCAGAUUGCCUGGUUUAUGAACCACCCUCAUCCUCUUCCCUCUCUCUCUCUCUCGUCACCCCUUUUCUUUUCAUUUUUUCUCUUUAGGCUGACCUUGAUGACAUAAUGGACCAUGACAUGUCACGCACUCUCCUUAGAAUAGAAUUUAGUUAGUUAUUAAGCGAAAAAGUGUAAAGGUGUUUUGAUUUUUUAUUUUUUUUUAUCCUUUUUGGAGCAAAUUAUGGUCCUUUCUCCAAAAACUAACUAACUACAUAUAUAUUUGAAAAUCUGGGAAUUAUUUUCUUUAAAAAUAAAAACAAUUUUUAAAUAAUUUGUUUAUAAAUUUAUUUUUUUAAUAUUCAAUUACCAUAUAAAAAUGUAAAAAAAAAAAAUUAUUAUGAUCAUUUUUACAUUUUCGAAAAUAAAAUGGAAUCAAAAGAUAAGAUCAUUAAAAUUAAUUAAUUAAUUAUAAUUUUAUUUUAGUAUUUUACCUUUUGUAUGGAGAUGGUAAGAGAUUUUAUUAAUAAAGUUUAUAUAUAUGUGAGGGCAAAAUUAGGAGAAAUAUAGAAAAUAUCAAUAAAUUCAUAGAGAUAUAGAUGGUAGUGGCCAACUUUUAGGUGAAUGAAUUUUUUUAAUCAAGGUCAACUAAUACACGGAUUUUGAAAUAUUGCAUUGAAAUUUUGGGGUAUUUUCAACUUUGCCUACAUGUUAUUUUUUAGAACUUUAAGUUACUUUCAAAAAAAAAAAAAAUAGAGAUGUGAAAAAUAAUUAAAAAUAUAAAAAAUAUUUUAAAAUCUUUUGUAUUAUACGUAAAGACAUCACAUUUUCACAAAGAUUAAGUUGAGAAGAAUGUUUUCUUAUUUGAGUUUUAGCCAUAGGGGUGUUCAGGAAAAAUUGUUUUAGAAAAGGCUACUAUGGAUUUUACAUUUGCAAUUAAUAAAAUUGUUAAAAAGAAAGAAAAAAAGAUUCUAAGUAUAAAUAAAAAAGAUCAAAAUACUCAAAAAAAUAAUAAUGAAAAAUUUAAAUGUGAAGAAAUGAGACUAUGAUUUGAAGAAAUAGAAGCUAAUAGAAGCUAUUUUUGGCUAUAUGACUUUUAUUUUUAUUAAUACUUUCCAAUACCACAAGAAAAGUCAUUAAUUUUAAAAAUAAAAAUAAAAAUAAACCAUAAGCGACAAUCAAAUAAGAAUAUGUAAAUGAUAAUUAUAAUCAACAAUUUAUAUGAUAUUGGAUUUUGGGUUGUGUGAGUGAAGCAGAAGGAUUUUAGAAUGACUUUAUUUGAUAAUUUAGGACUUGUAAAAGCAUUUUUAGUUUGUAUUAUCUUUAUUGACAACGGUUAAAAAGAAAAAAAAACACUUUUUGGAUUAUAUUUGUUGAUAACAUUUUUAUGAAGAAAUAAUUAGUAUUUGAAUAUAAAUCAAUUUCCUACUUUCCUAAAUGCUUAAUGACCCCAUGAACUAUCUACCGACGUCAAGGUGAACUACUUUGCAUCCUAAGCCUCAGACUUUCCUUUGUGACCCUCAGACCAUGCCAUUAUAUGAUUCUCUUGUGUGGUCAAGUGGUUCACCUUUUGUUUUUUGAGACUGUACCUUAGGUACUACCUUAAUAGCCUUUAGGUACUACCUUAAUGUACCUUAGGUACUACCUUAAGGGACCGUAGGUACUACCUUAGUUAAAGUUGGGUUCUACCUUUCCCAAUCCUCAGACCUUCCUUUGUGACCCUUAAACCAUGCCAUUAUGUGAUUCUCUUGUGUGGUCAAGUGGUUCACCUUUGGUUUUUUGGGAUUGUACCUUAGGUACUACCUUAAUAGACCUUAGAUACUACCUUAAAGGACCUUAGGUACUACCUUAGUUAAAGUUGGAUUCUAUUUUUCUCAAGCUUCGGACCUUCCUUUGUGACCCUCNNNNNNNNNNNNNNNNNNNNNNNNNNNNNNNNNNNNNNNNNNNNNNNNNNNNNNNNNNNNNNNNNNNNNNNNNNNNNNNNNNNNNNNNNNNNNNNNNNNNNNNNNNNNNNNNNNNNNNNNNNNNNNNNNNNNNNNNNNNNNNNNNNNNNNNNNNNNNNNNNNNNNNNNNNNNNNNNNNNNNNNNNNNNNNNNNNNNNNNNNNNNNNNNNNNNNNNNNNNNNNNNNNNNNNNNNNNNNNNNNNNNNNNNNNNNNNNNNNNNNNNNNNNNNNNNNNNNNNNNNNNNNNNNNNNNNNNNNNNNNNNNNNNNNNNNNNNNNNNNNNNNNNNNNNNNNNNNNNNNNNNNNNNNNNNNNNNNNNNNNNNNNNNNNNNNNNNNNNNNNNNNNNNNNNNNNNNNNNNNNNNNNNNNNNNNNNNNNNNNNNNNNNNNNNNNNNNNNNNNNNNNNNNNNNNNNNNNNNNNNNNNNNNNNNNNNNNNNNNNNNNNNNNNNNNNNNNNNNNNNNNNNNNNNNNNNNNNNNNNNNNNNNNNNNNNNNNNNNNNNNNNNNNNNNNNNNNNNNNNNNNNNNNNNNNNNNNNNNNNNNNNNNNNNNNNNNNNNNNNNNNNNNNNNNNNNNNNNNNNNNNNNNNNNNNNNNNNNNNNNNNNNNNNNNNNNNNNNNNNNNNNNNNNNNNNNNNNNNNNNNNNNNNNNNNNNNNNNNNNNNNNNNNNNNNNNNNNNNNNNNNNNNNNNNNNNNNNNNNNNNNNNNNNNNNNNNNNNNNNNNNNNNNNNNNNNNNNNNNNNNNNNNNNNNNNNNNNNNNNNNNNNNNNNNNNNNNNNNNNNNNNNNNNNNNNNNNNNNNNNNNNNNNNNNNNNNNNNNNNNNNNNNNNNNNNNNNNNNNNNNNNNNNNNNNNNNNNNNNNNNNNNNNNNNNNNNNNNNNNNNNNNNNNNNNNNNNNNNNNNNNNNNNNNNNNNNNNNNNNNNNNNNNNNNNNNNNNNNNNNNNNNNNNNNNNNNNNNNNNNNNNNNNNNNNNNNNNNNNNNNNNNNNNNNNNNNNNNNNNNNNNNNNNNNNNNNNNNNNNNNNNNNNNNNNNNNNNNNNNNNNNNNNNNNNNNNNNNNNNNNNNNNNNNNNNNNNNNNNNNNNNNNNNNNNNNNNNNNNNNNNNNNNNNNNNNNNNNNNNNNNNNNNNNNNNNNNNNNNNNNNNNNNNNNNNNNNNNNNNNNNNNNNNNNNNNNNNNNNNNNNNNNNNNNNNNNNNNNNNNNNNNNNNNNNNNNNNNNNNNNNNNNNNNNNNNNNNNNNNNNNNNNNNNNNNNNNNNNNNNNNNNNNNNNNGGUACUACCUUAAGGUACCUUGGGUUCUAACAUAGUUAAGGUCCCUUAGCAUGGUUUAAGGGUCACAAAGGAAGGUUCGACAUUUGGGAAAGGUAGAACUCAACUUUAACUAAGGUAGUACCUAAGGUCCCUUAAGGUAGUAGCUAAGGUACAUUAAGGUAGUACCUAAGGGCUAUUAAGGUAGUACCUAAGGUACAGUCUUAAAAAACCAAAGGUGAACCACUUGACCACACAAGAGAAUCACAUAAUGACAUGGUCUGAAGGUCAUAAAGGAAGGUCCGAGGCUUGAGAAAGGUAGAACGCAAAUUUAACUAAGGUAGUAUUUAAGGUCUCUUAAGGUAGUACCUAAGGUAUAUUAAGGUAGUAUCUAAGAGCUAUUAAGAUAGUACCUAAAGUACAAUCCGCAAUAUAACAAUGCCACUUACAACCUUUUGCAUUUGUUAGAGCUUGCUAAGUCCAUUGAUGUCUAAGGUUCUUUCAAAAACCUACAAUUGAGUCAUUUUCCAUCGCUUUAAAUCGUUUUUAUCAUAAAAAUUAGGUAUUUAAACAAAGUUUUAUACACCUCUUAAAAUAUUUUUCAACUAUAUACGCUAUCACUAAAACCAUUCUUAAAAUACUCUUUUGAUUUUGAUGUAGUCCCAAAAUGACCUAUACGAAUUGAAAACUUGUUCUAUUAUGAUUGGAUAAGAGUUGUUGUUAUUAGAACACUUGAGAUUCAAGACAAUUUAGUCAUAGAAAAGCCCAUGACACUCGUUGUAAAGAUCAAAACACUCGUAUAACAUAGUAUAUUGUGUGAAACCAAGGUUUGAUUAAUCUUGAUUUUGAUGAUAACAAAACAAGGUUUAGAACUAAUGAUUAUAUUUCAAGUGUGAUUAGGUAAGAUGAUUUCCAAAGUGACAAUCACAAAGACAAAUCAAGCCAAGGAGAAAUCAUGAAGAAGAAGACCACCUCAAAGAGAAGUGUUUUUCAAGACCCAAGCUUCAUAAGAUCUCUUUGUAAGGUUGUUGGUGCACUAGGAUUUUCAUGCAUUACAUUCUUUACUUAUGCACUAAAAUCAUCCAAUAGUUAUUUUUUUUAAAUAUCUUAAGAAUUGGAUGAUUUCAUGUUUUCAACUAAAAUCUUGUGUUAAAUGUUUUUCAAACUUGUUUUAAAAGGUUUUAAAUUGAAAAAGUUGGGUGUUGAGCUAAAAAAUUGUUCAAUCGGUUGAACCGGGUGAGGAAUUGAUCGAUCGCAAGAUCAACCGGUCGAGGUCCGGGUCGACCCAUAGCUCAACCUGUCGAGGCCCGAGUAGACCCAUAGCUCAACCUGUCGAGACCCGGGUAGACCCCCAGCUCAACCGGUUGAGAGUGCAAAAAACUUUCUCUUUCUUCCAGAAUGGUUGUUCAACCGGUCAAGGUUGAAUCUCAACUGGUUGAGGUCCGAUUGAGGUCCGGUUGAGGCCUAACGGUCACUUGCCAAACAUUAAAUGCUAACGGCUAGUCAACCCCUAACUCGAUCGGACGAACCCCCAAACGGCUAGUUUGACUUUUCUCUUUUAUAAAAAGGUUUCAAUCUUCAUUGUUUCAUAAGCUUAACAUUCCCAAACCUUUCUUGAUUAUAUUUGAGCCUUGGAAGAGUGUUUUUUAGUGCACCAUUGUUCUAAAACUUGCAUAUCCUUAGUGCACAUUUCAAUCCUAGUUUUCUUGUAUCAUUUGAGCUUAAAGUUCUUGUGCUAAGAUUUUUGUGAGAUCAUUUAUUUAUAAACCUUUGAGAGGAAGUUUCUCAAGAGUGUGGUAUCUCUUAAGAAGUGUAAAGGGUGCUUGGAGCCAAAAAUCCAAGAGGGUGAAUUGGAACCAUAAUCCAAUUGUAUUGCUUGAAGGCUUAGUUUGGAAGCCUUGAAUUAGUGAAACCUCAAGCUUAGGAUUGAAGCUAGAGGAUAGUGGAUGUAGGCUGGGUUGCGCCGAACCACUAUAAACUCUUGUGUUUACAUUCUCUCUUCCCUACUCUUUAAUUUAUAUGCAAUUGUCUUUAUAUUACUUAUUAUAUACUUGCAUAUAAAUUGUCUCUUACUUUAGCAUAGUUUAAAUUUGUAAAAAGAGACCAUCACCCUAUUCACCCCCCCUCUAGGGUGAUUACCAUAGGUUGGAUUAGCCUAAUAUUUCUAACAUAUUGCAUAGAGUCACCUAAAUGUUAGAAUCCGUCUAACUUCAUGGACUGACCAAGGUGGGUAUUUAUGGCUUUGUGUCCUUCUAGGUGGACAAGGUUCAUAGAUCUAAAUCUGACCCAACGACAUAUGAACUAAUUAGUUCAAACUUUGCAAAGAAUAAUAAAUGUUGCCAAGAUAAUCCAUGAGACUUUGUGGAUGAUGGGAAACCAUAAAAGAUAUUGGACGCUUGUGUUCAGACACGGUUACUUGAACCAAAUGAUCAAUCCCUCGGAGCCGAUCAUGCCAUUGAAGCAAAAGGUGUUGAUAAAACACAAUGAUUAUUCUUAUAAAGUAUUACAAUUAACCAUUGUUAGCCCAAGGGUUCUCCUAAUCGGGUUUUGAUGAUAGCAAACCAUGGUUAAGUGACUAAUUGGUUUAAUGUUUAAGAAUCUCAGGUAUAAACUCGAAAAUUCAUCAAAUGACCAAAUGGAUACAAGAUCGAGACGCUUGGAAGACUUAUGAUCAUAGGAAACUAAUGUAAGAUGAAUGCAUGAGUGCACUUAGGAUUUUCACACGUUUCAUGCAUCUUUGAAAACUUAGUUUAUUCUUUAAAACGUCGAUCUCAUUAAAACCCGAGUUUUUAACUAAUGUACCUUAGGCAAAAUGUUUCAAAAUUGGCUUAAUAAUUUACCUAAAGACCUUGCCUAAGUGUUAGAAAAGAAAGGAAUUAAAAAAAUAGGUUUUCGGGGCAAAAAAUGCUCAACCGAUCGAGGCUAUGGCCAAUCGACUCAACCAGUUGAGGAACCGGUCGACCGGUUGUGCUCGUCCAGUCGAGGAAUGUAAAAAACCUUCUCUCUCUCUCUCUCUCCCAGUAGCCUUCUCUUCCCAGUCGAGGUGUUUCUCUUACCGAUCGAGGUCCGGUUGAGGCAACGGUAACCUGUCAUGCAUUAAAUGCUCCAACAGCUAGUGAACCGGUCGACCCCUAGCUCGACCGGACGAGGUUACCUUUUGUUGUUUUUGACUCCCGAGCUUAGAAACUUAUAAAUUGAGAGCUCCACUUCAUUUAUUGAUAAGAGAACACUUGCAUUCAAUAGCCUACCUACCUGUUCUUGAUCAAAAAGCUUUCAUUUCUUUCAUAGUGCAUUAAAUCACCACUUGCAUAUCCUUUAGUGCACUUUUGUGUGUCAUCCUAACUUUGUCUUGUAUUUGAGCCAUUCUUAAGCUAGGUUGGGUGAUUAUAUCUUGUAAAAAUCUGAGUGUUAAAGCCUUCAAAAUGGUUGAAUCUUGAAGAGGUUGUGUAAGAGCUCAUUGGAGCCGGAAUCCAAGUGUAAGAAGAUUGGAAGCUUGGUUGAAGCUUCAAGUUAGUGGAACCCUCACUCGGUUAGGAGGUUGAGGAGAGUGGACGUAGGCAAGGAAGUGACGAACUACUAUAAACUCGAGUUUGAAUUCUCUAAACUCUAUCUCUUUACUUUGCUUAUAUUGUGUUUGAAUUUGUUGUAAUUGAAAAUAUUUUAAAAACUCAAUUCACCACCCCCCUCCCUUUUGGGUGUUUUUCUUAACUAAGCAUAACCUUUGUUUUCUCAACCAUCAUAGAAGACAUGUCCAAUAAUUAAUAAUCACAUUCAAAAAAGUUCUUUUCAACCAAUAAAAAUCCCAUACAGGUUUACAUGCCACCUGAAAAAUCAUAACAAUUUAAGCAAUGAUGGUUAUGAACAACAUUUAUAAAAAGUUAGUGGAUGUUAGUACUUUUAUUAACUUGAUCCUUAGAUUGACAUAAUUUAGGAUGCAAAGUUGUUCACCUUGACAUAGGUGGAUAGUUCAUGGGGUCAUUAGGCAUUUAGGAAAGUAGAAAAUUGAUUUAUAUUCAAAUACUAAUUAUUUAUUCAUAAAAAUGUUAUCAACAAAUAUAAUCCAAAAAGUGUUUUUUUUUCUUUUUAACUGUUGUCAAUAAGAUAAUACAAACUAAAAAUGCUUUUACAAGUCCUAAAUUAUCAAAUAAAGCUAUUCUAAAAUCCUUCUACUUCACUCACACAACCCAAAAUCCAAUAUCAUAUAAAUUGUUGAUUAUAAUUAUUAUUUACAUAUUCUUAUUUGAUUGUCACUUAUGGUUUAUUUAUUUAUUUAUUUUUAAAAAAAAAUUAAUGACUUUUCUUGUGGUAUUGGAAAGUAUUAAUAAAAAUAAAAGUCAGAUAGCCAAAAUAGCUUCUAUUUCUUCAAAUCCCAGUCUCAUUUCUUCACAUUUAAAUUUUUCAUUAUUAUUUUUUUAGUAUUUUGAUCUUUUUUAUUUAUACUUAGAAUCUUUUUUUUCUUUCUUUUUAACAAUUUUAUUCAUUGCAAAUGUAAAAUCCAUAGUAGCCUUUUCUAAAACAAUUUUUCAUGAACACCCCUAUGUCUAAAACUCAAAUAAGAAAACAUUCUUCUCAACUUAAUCUUUGUGAAAAUGUGAUGUCUUUAUGUAUAAUACAAAAGAUUUUAAAAUAUUUUUUAUAUUUUUAAUUAUUUUUCACAUCUCUAUUUGUUUUUUUGAAAAUAACUUAAAGUUCUAAAAAAGAACAUGCAGGCAAGGUUGAAAAUAACCCAAAAUUUCAAUGCAAUAUUUCAAAAUCUGUGUAUUAGUUGACCUUGAUUAAAAAAAUUCAUUCACCUGAAAGUUGGCCACUACCAUCUAUAUCUCUAUGAAUUUAUUGAUAUUUUCUAUAUUUCUCGUAAUUUUGCCCUCACAUAUAUAUAAACUUUAUUAAUAAAAUCUCUGACCAUCUCCAUACAAAAAGUAAAAUACUAAAAUAAAAUUAUAAUUAAUUAAUUAAUUAAUUUUAAUAAUCUUAUCUUUUGAUUCCAUUUUAUUUUUGAAAAUGUAAAAAUGAUCAUAAUGUUAUAAAAUAUGAGAAUUUACCGGAUUAUAAGAACUUGUGGAUGAUCAUCCAUAUUGAUGUAUAUCUCUUUGUAACUCCCUAUAAAAGGGAGAUACCUCUAAUGAAAAUCUAUUAUAUUCUCUUCCUACAUUCUGAUUUCUCUUUUUUGUUUUCUUCUCCUUUCACUUUAUAAUUUUACAACACCUUAUCAGCACCAAUAAUCGUUACAAAAGAAAGAGAAAUAUUUUUCUGUAUUUAGAGAAAUAAAAAGACUCUUCUCUCUUCUUUCUCGCAAAAGGUAUGUGAUAAACUUAUAUCACAAUUUUCUAUUUUAUUACCCUUUAAUCUCUAUUUUCAUUUAUUUUGAAUACAUAAAUAUUACAAUCCAUAUAAUCAAAAGUUAUGUGAUAAAUUAUAAAUAUGGUAAAUUCAUAACCAGAAUUUAUGAAAAAAUAUGUACAAUCUCUAUAACCAGAAGUUAUGAGAUAAAUUACAAAUUAUGAGAAAAAUUUAUAAUCAGAAGUUAUGAAAAAUAUGUGCAAUCCCUAUAACCAAAAGUUAUGGGGAAAAUGAUAAAAUUACAAAUACAUGACCAGAAGUUAUGUAUAUAAUCUCUAAUUAUUUAUGUUUAAUUAUACGGUAUAACUAGAAGUUAUACCAAACAAUAUUAUGACCAGAAGCUAUAAAAUAAAUAAAUAAAUAAAUGUUCAUAGCUUGAAGUUAUGUACAAAUUUACAUAAUGAAAGUUCAUAACCCGAAGCCGUGCACAAAUCUACCCAAUGAAUAGCUCAUAACCUAAAACUAUAUACAAAUUUAUAAAUAAAAAAAACAGUCCAUAGUCUGAAACUAUGUACAAAUUUAAAUAUUUUCUUGUUCUGAAAAAAUAAUCAUGACCUGAAACUAUGAAAGAUAUUAACUUUUAAUUUCUUUAAUUUCUUUUAAUUAUAUUGUAUAACUAGAAGUUAUACAUAAAUAGUCCAUAACUUGAAACUAUGUACAAAUUUGCAUAUUUUCUUAUUUUGACAAAACAAUCAUAACUCAAAGUUAUGAAAAAUAUUGGUUUUUUAUUUUUAUUUCGUACUCACUUAUUUUUCACAAUAGAAAUUAUGGAAAAACAAUUUUUAUUUACAAUUGUUUCAUAGCCAGAAGCUAUGCAUACACUUUCUAAUUCUCUUGUAUAACCAGAAGUUAUACAAAACAAAAUUGUCACUGAAUCUUUGAGCUAUGAUCAAAGAAGGAAAUCAAGCAUCCCUGCAGGAUCAUGCAAAAACACUGAUUUUCCUUCAUCAUCAUCUCCAUGAAGGUUUAACAAAAAAUGAGCUUUUGAUGAGAAAUCACUAGUCUCGUCCAACUAGAACUAAAUCAUUCCCUGAAGUGAAUGCAAUAUUAUCCUAAACUCGUGGAUGAUGACAAGAACGUGGUCGUGGUUAUGGAAGAAAUCCCUGAUACCAUAGUUCUUAUAGUAAUAAUUCACCAAAUUCUCAUAAAAUGAAAGUCUCAUUGCACCACCAGAAGUGGAAUAAUACUGAGGUAAAACAAGAAAAUGAGAAGUGUUUACAAGAUAAACCUUCUAAAAAUCAUGAGAAUAAGUGUUAUAGAUGUUUACCAGACAUCAAUAAAAGGAAAGGAAGUUGAAAUGAACUUCAUUGAUAGUGAUGGCCAAGUGGAUCUAACCCAUUUAGAUGUUUCGGAUUUCUAUGAGAAUCUUAAUGGAAAAAUUGACCAUCUAAUUGGUGAUAGAAAUGUUUGUCAUGAUUAAACAUUAUGUUUUUAGUUAGUUCUUUGCAAAUAGGUUUAUUUUGUUAUCAUCUUUGAACAUAUUGUUUAUUGUUCAUAUUUUAUAGUUUAUUUCACAUUUUAUUAUUUAUCAUUUAAAUUAUUUUCUUUAUUUAUACUUGAAGAUACAUGGAUCUCUCUCAUACCUUGAUCCAUCAUUACAAUUAGUUUGAUUAUUAAAAUACUUCCUAGUUAUUUCAUGUAUAAAUUGUUUCACACUUACAAAAUCAAAUGUGUGAGAUAGUUACAAAAUAUAUAAAUUAUCUUUUCAUAUUUGUUUUAUUGUGUUAUCUAUAUGCUUUCAUUGCUUUUACACAAUUUAUUAUGUCAUCGUCGACGACUAAUAUUUUUCUAUUGAUUUUAACUUUUUCUCUAUGAUAAUAUUUAUUCAACUCUAUAAAUUGAUUAAGCUUUAUUUGGGCUUAUUUGAGAUUUAAUAUGAAUUUUUAUUUUAUGGAUUAAGAAUAAUUUUCAAUGUUAAUUUUGUUCUAUAAAAUUUGGAUAUUAUGUUUUGUAAACGAAAUGAAUUUGUCAUAGGAAAUUGCUAACGAAUUUUGGGACAAAUUAUGUCUAUUUUCAAUGAUAAAACUUUUUUACUUUUACCAAUGAAAUAUUUCGUUGGCAAAAAGCUUGAGUGACAACCUUCUGACCAUAUUUGAAAAGAUGAAUUUGUUUCUUUUGCAUUAGUUGAGUUUCAAUAGGUCAUUUUCAUCUUUGUGAUUUAAAGUUGCUCAUCUUUUGUGCCUCUGCUUCUGAUGAUGAAAUUGCAGAUCAGGGGCCUCUCUACUUAGUACUACUGAUUGUUUAUCACACAAGCAAAGGAGAUGGCCAGAAGAUAUGGCCUGGCACCCAGAAGGAUCGGAAACAGCAUAUUUUUAUGUAUUCUCUAUGUUAAUUUCUUUACUUCUGGAAGGGAGUUCCAAUGCAGCAGCAUCUAUAGCUAGCUAGCUAAAAUGGCGAAACUUCAUGAUGACAUCCAAGACGAUUUUACAAGAAAGAAUCCACUCUCGGUCCUAGAUGUUCAAUCUAUCAACUUGAAAUUUAAAAUGCAAAAGCUAUAUAUGAGCACUCUUCUCAAUUACUGUUGGCUACAUAAAGCCUUAAUGCCACCUGUGGGGUUGAUUAGUAUGAAUCGUUUAAUGCUAUUCGCCUUUAUUUACUAGUAUAAUAUGAUAUUAAUCCCAUCAAUACUCUAACCUCCUCAUUGUCUUGUCACUUCUCUGUGCUAGUACCCUCUAUGAUCUUCACUGUACAUGGUCAAACUAUCUUCCCGACUCUCCCGUAUGUCGUCUCUAACACAAGUUGCCUCACCACUGAUUUCAUCUUCUUAUUCUAGUACCCUCUAUGAUCUUCACUGCAUGGUCAAACUGUCUUCCCGACUCUCCCGAAGGUUGUCUCUAACACAAGUUGCCUCACCACUGGUUCAUCUUCUUAGUACAAUAUCUUUUUCUGGCAUUGCUUUUCAUUCAACAAGAAUGGGUUCAAGGAAUAUAAAUUUUUAUUGAAACUAGAUAGAAAAGAUGGAUGAAUAGUGUGGAGUAAUAGGGCGUUGAACAAAGCAGGAAUAAGAAUACAAGAAAUGAAAUGUGUGCCUGAAGGACCAGCUGAUCAGCCAUUCAAUCACCACCAAAAGAAAGAAAAAGGAGAGAGAGAUAGAGAGAGCAUCCAAUACUGUGAUUUAUAACAGUAUAAAGAAGAAAAGGCAUCCUAAAAACUCGUUUGCCUUUUCAUUUGAUGGUAGGUUUGGUCCACGUGCCGACCGCAUGCAAUAACUACCUUGCACGUGAUGGGUUGGGUACUAAAAAGUUGAUGUCAUGUAAAUCAAUAACGUUAAUGUUAUAUAAUAUUUUAUUCAUUUAAUAAAAAUAUAAAAAAAAAUUAUAAUACAAUCAAACAAAAAUUUUAAGGGUCUAUUUAAUAAUAAAUAAAAAAAACAUGUUUGAUGAAUAAAAAAAUUGUUUUUUAUUUUUUUAUUUUAUGUUUUUAAAAAAUAAAAAUAUAUUUUUAAAUUAUCUUUUUAAAAAAUAAUUAUAUAUAAAUAACGGAGAAGGCAUAGAGACCACAUGGACCCCUCAUGCCACCUCCAUUCCUUUCCUUACUUUUAUAUUGAAGUUUUUCAUUUCAAAAACAAAUGAGAGGAAGUGUAUCCAAAGGACACUUAAUUAGAUGUUUAGUUUCUUAUUAAAUUUCUUGGAACAACAUCACAACAAAAACAGUGCAGUCUUUUGUUAAAUUGAAUCUGUGCUUAUUUCAGAACCCCUUCUUAGUAUUUAAGAAGAGAACCAGCAAAUUUCUUAGCAGUUUUGUACUCUUGUAUCUCUUGAGGAGUGGUGAAAGUGAUUAUUUGAAUCAGCCACCUUUAGCUAAAACUACUAUUUCCUUUCUGCAUGCAUUCUUUUCAUUCUCUUCAACUUUUAACUAUUUUCUUGAUUUUUAAUAAAUAUGAAUAAAUUUCAUAAUUACAAAAUAAUAGAAUUUAUGGAAUUAAUUCAUACAAAAAUAAAUUGGGUCUUUGUGAGAGCCCAACAUCCAUGAUACCAACUCUAAUUGUUUUGCUUGAUUAAUAUUAAUUGAUUUUGUCCCACUUCAUGAAUGGCAUGAGAUAUUUUGCACUUGUAUUAUUCAUUGACCUUGUUUUCAAUGGAAGCACAUUUCGACUUGUUGCUCAGUUAUACUACUCCUUUCCUCAUUUUCUCGUUCAAUUAUCCUUUGAUAUAUGCUUUGACCGUUGUAUAUCUCAACUCUUACUAGGUAUCCAUUGAUUAACCAAUUAAUUGUCACCUUUUGCUAAUUAGUAGAGACAUAACUUUAAGGCUUAAUAUCGUACCUUCCUAAUAGGUAACAUAAUCCUCAAAUUUUAACUCAAUUUUUGCAGACUUGUAUUUCUUUUCAAAAGUCGAACUUAGGGUUUUUUUUCUUAUUUAAAUUUUCUUUUAAAAAAUAAAACAAAAAUAAGUAACGACUUUAAGGCUUUUCUAAAAUGUCAUUUUUUCAUAAAUAAAAAGUAAGUCGCACCAUAUAAGAAAUGCUUGUCUAGGAAAAUUAAGGAUGAAAAUAUCAGUAAUUACAGAUAUAUUGGUAUUUCGAUUUUACAGAUAUUUUGAAAAAAAAUAUUGAUAAGCUUAAAAUUGAUCAAAAUUCAUGAAAAUGUAAGAAAAACGUCAUAAAAUGUAAUUAAAAGUAUAAUAGACAUUUUAAAGUGGUUUUGUUGAAGAGUUAAGUUUGAUAUAUGUAUAAUAUAAUUUAUCAUAUUUGAUAAUAAUAUCAUAUGCAUCAAUAAAAAAUAUGAAUUUUAUAAGUGUACAUUUAUUAUUAAAUUACAUAAAAUAUUAUUUCAUAAUAAUUUUGUGAUAUUUGAUUAUAAUAUAUCUAAUUUUAAAAUAUAUUUAAUAUUAAAAUUAUGAUUAAUUUAAUUCAAUUAUAUUAAAUGAUAUAAAAUAAAUGAUGAUGUAUGUACAAUUAUGAUAUUUAAUAAUAAUGUUUAUAACUUGAAAACAUAUUUUAUGCAGACUCAUCUAAUUUGGAUGUAUUUAAUGAAAUAAUAAUAAUAAUAAUUUGUAUAAGUAUUUUUUAUUUUAAAAUUUUGAUAAUUUUAUUCAAAAAUUUAUAUUGAUUUUAUAUGUAAUUAUUAUAUAAAAGUUAUAAUAAUCAAAAUUAAUUUAUUUAUAAUAAUUUUAGUAUGAUUAAUUUUAUAAUAUGGUCAUAUGCAAUGAAAACAGGAAUUAUGCCAUGAUUCAAAACAAAAAAGAGGGUUAAAAAAUACAAAAGAUAUCCAACAAUGAAAUUUAAAGAGAAGGAACCAAAAAACUUGUUAGUUCAUAAUAAGCUUAAAACCGACCAUGUAGGCGGUACAAAAUAAAAAACAUAAACUUAAAAAUAAAGCUUAAUUAAAACCAUCCAUAUAGGAGGUAAUCAAAACAUACUUAUAUUAUAUAUAAGGAGAAAUAUCUUACAAUGAACAAAGGUAGGAAAGCUUGAAGGGGUUACAUGAUGAAAGAGAAAGAAGAGAGAAGGGAGAGCAUAAGAGCCUAAAUUGAACGUGCUUACAAAUGAGGACCGAGCCUCCUUAAAUAGGCAAAAAAGGAAUCUUGAAUAGUAACCAUGAAUAGUAGACCCGUGCUUGAAUAGUGCUUGAAUAGUAAAAGUGAACAGUAAGAGGGAACUGUAGCACUUUUGACAUUUGUCCUAGAAUCUUGCUUUCGGCUGAAAUGACUGCUGAUCAAUUAAUCAGGGAGGAAUAUAUUCCGAGCGGUGAUCCAUUAGGAGCUGAGUAUCUUGAAUAGUGGAUUUGAACGGUAAAGGGUCAAUCUUUUUAUUGCAAAAUAUUUGAUGUAGGGAAUCCGCAGCAAUGAGAUGCCCCAUGUUUUUUGGGUAGGCUUCAAAGUCUCUGCUGAUGACUCUGGCUCUCCAAUGCUUGAUUUGCUUAAUAAUUGGCUCUCCGCAAAUGUCGGUUUGAACUAAGGGACUGGACAGAAGAGUAGGUCUUCUAUUCUGGUAAUGAAGAUUAACAUAGUGUUGGGCUGGAAGAACUUUGCCUCUAGAAAUCCAUUCAGGAGCUUUACUAAUAAAAAUGGCAUCAGCAAACUUCUUGUUUAACUUAAAUCCUUGGGUUAAGCUUAGAUUAACCUUUCUGCCAAAAUUGCUAGCUUGACUUGGAUCAGAACAGAUAAGUUGGUAAAGCAAUCCAUAAUCAAGAAGCUUUUCAGAAGUAAGGAUUAAAACUUCUCCUUUGAAAGCAAGGUUAAUUGGCUGGUAAUACUGUAGAUCAAUGCAGACUCUACUGAUAGUGAAAUUCCUAUUGCAGUUGCAAAUUGGCUUGUUGUCUUGUUGAUGAAGAAGUGGUUCAGUACAAUUUCUGCAAAGUUUUGAGCCAUCAAAUUCCAUUUCCUUGGUUAAAUUUAAUCCUGGAACACUGAGACCAAGAAUGGCUGAGAGAUAAAUGUGCAGAUCCUGAAGAUAAGCCGAAAUAAAAACUUGUUUUUCUUCUGCACUGGACUUGGCUUUUUCACAAAUUAGCUAAUAAAUAUCAUCUGGCUUGAGAGUGGACAAAAUCUCAUUACUUCGGUGAAACAUUCUAAAGAUAAUGCACUCCUGCUCAUCCUUACUUAAUUUCUCAUUCACCAAUGGGGUGAAUGGUUUUUUCUCACCAAUUUCCAGUGGGGAAAAAGGGGCUUGGCUUAUAUCUUUUUUGUGAAAAUUAACUAUUUCUAGCCUUUUUUCAAGGGUCCUGCACCUAGCCUGCAAAUCACAAAUACUCUUAUGAACAGAUAAGGAGUUAGUAUCAAAAGUAGAGAAGUCUAAGGGGAUAGGUUCUUCCACCAAAGGUAGAGAACCAGAAAUAUUUCCUUCUUCCAUAACAGGGGAGAAAGGAUGCUUAAGAAUAGAAGGAUUAGGAUCAGAAGUAGAUCCCUGAGAUCCCCAAGCAAAAUCAUAAUACAAAGGCUUGAAUUUUUCUGAUAAGAUUGAAUGAGGUUUCAUGUAAGAUGAUGAUUUCUUAAAGGAUUGCUUUUCUGUUUUGGGAGCCAUGAUCUUGUGAAUCCUGCAAAAUUUCACGAGUUAGGAAAUCAGGGAUUGAGUUAUUUUCUCCUUUAAUGUACUCAAUUUGAAAAUCAAAAUUGCUUAAAAUAGCUUGUCAUCUAGCAAAAAUAUGUUUAGAAGCUAUAUUUUUAACAUCUUUUUGUAAAACUGAUUUUGCAGAUUUGCAAUCCACUCUUAAUAAAAAUUCUUGAUUCAAAAGAUCGUCUUGAAAUUUUGAAAUGCAUAAAACGAUGCUUAAAAUUUCCUUUUUGAUGGUGCUGUAGUUGAGUUGGGCAUGGUUCCAAGUUCCAGAAGUGAAUCUAACCAACAAUUCUUGAUUAUUACUUCUUUGCUUAAGAAUUCCACCAAAACCUAUAUUAGAAGCAUCAGUCUCAACAAUCUUAAAGGCUUUAUGAUCAGCUAAUGCGAGACAUGGUAGGGUUUUGACUCUAGACUUUACUAUUUUAACAAUCUUGGUAUGAUCCUCAUUCCAAGGGACUGGAUUUUUCUUAAGUCUUUGUCUUAAAGGGGCACAUAAUUGGCUUAAAUCUUGUAUGAAAUCUGACACAUAAUUAAGGCUUCCUACGUUGCAAUUGUUUCUUAUCCUUAAUCUCAUCAGGGAACUUAUCAGCAAACUCGAUUGAUCUUUGAAUGGGGGUGAAUGUUCUUUGGUGAAUAUGAUGACCUAGGAAUCUUAUCUUAGUUUGAAAGAGGUUAAUCUUAGUGGCUAACAAGCUUAAACCAUUGCUCUUAACAGUUUCAAUAAACCUAUUGAGAUGUUUCCAAUGCUGCUCAACAGAAUCUGAAUAAAUCAAGACAUCAUCAAUGUAAACAAUAAUGAAAUCAGAAAACUGGUUAAAGAUUUCAUUCAUUAUGUUUUGAAACUCAGAAGGUGCAUUCUUAAGGCCAAAGGGCAUUACAUUCCACUCAUAAUGACCAAAUGGGACCACAAAGGCUGUUUUGUAUCUAUCUUUUUCCGCAAUUUGGAUUUGCCAAAAUCCAAAUUUCAUGUCAAACUUAGAGAAAACUUUGGACUUCCCUAAUCUUUGAAGGAGGUCUUUUUUAUUUGGGAUAGGAUACCUGAUCCAUCUUAAAACAUCAUUGAGGGGCUUAUAGUUGAUGACUAGUCUAGGUGUUCCUCUUUCAAGUUCAGCUUGUUUCUGAAUAUAAAAGGCAGAACAACUCCAAGGGGAUUUAGACUUCCUUAUCAACUUCUUAUUCAUGAGAUCCUGGAUUUCUUUUUCAUAAUAGCUUAACAAAUCCUUGUUCAUUUGGAUUGGUCUAACUUUAGUGGGAAUAUUUUUCUCACUAAAAUCAAGCUCAUAGGGUAAUCUUACCUCAUGCUGCUUCCUGUGCCAAAAAGCAUUAGGAAUGUUAGAGCAAACUUCCUUAAUAAUCUUAUUCUUAAGGUUUUCUAUAGCAUCUUGGGUUUUCUUAACCUUCAGUUGAUCUUCUAUUCUCACCAGAGCAAUCUCUUGUUUUAAGAUAUUAAUAUGAUUUUGCUUAGCCUUAAUCACCUGAUCUUUUAUGGUGUUUAUACUUCUUUCUCCAGGUGGAUUGGCAAAUUCAAACAGAAUUUCCUUAUCUAAAAGCUUAGUUCUUAUACCUUGAUCAUCUACCCACAUAGGAAAGAUGGAGCUUAAGAAAGGGACUCCAAGGAGAACUUUCUCCUUGAGAUCUUUAACAAGAAUGAAGGUUUGCUUAAUGCAAAUGCCUUGGUUACAAAUAUGGGCAUUCGAUAGCUUGUACUUGAUAAUAAGCUUUUUACCAUUAGCACCAAAGAGAGUUUGCCUGGUUUUCUCAUAAAAUUGGGUAGGUACAAGACCUUCUUGUAGACAAUUCAAAGCUGCACCUGAAUCAAUUAAAGCAAUAAUAUCAAGGAUAAAUUUAUUCUUAAUUACUAUAGUAAGGGAGACUUCCCACCUUUGGAAGAUAACUUUACUAAUAGUAUUUAAGUAUGCAUUUAUCUUAUCACUAUUGUCUUGUGAAGAUUCAAGAACUUCUUCAAAGUCUUCCUUUUUAGGACUACUGUGGUAAAAACCUACUCUGUUGAUAUAAUCCUGAGGGAUAGGGAUUUCUGAGCUUGUGGGUUGUCUUAGGUUCUCAAUAUCCUUCUUAUACUGCCCUAUUUCUUCUUGAAGAUCUUUAAUAGUCAGGGCAUUAAGGAUAAUCCUUUUUUUCUUGUUUAUCAUUAUGAUCCUUAAAAGGAUUUUGGAUAGAAGGUUCUCUAGUUAGCCUAAUUAGUCCAUUAUCCUUUGCUUUUGGACUAAUAUUCCUUUUAACCAAAAGGAUUCUCCUAUGGGAAGGUUGAAGUGUUUCAUGGAUAGUAAAGGUUUGAGGUGUUUCAAGGAUAACAAGAUUAUCUUUAACCUUUUGGCUUAUUCUAUCAAUGAAAGCUUGAUCAAUUUGAGGAUUUUCCUGGAAUUUCUUAGAUAAUUCAAAAGGCUUAAACAAAGGCUUAUUAUCAUUCUUAACAAAAGGCUUCUUAAGGUGAUCCUGAGUUUCAAUAAUCUCCUCAACUCUGUUGACUUGAUUUCCAAGGGUUAUGAGAAACAUAUUAGUAUAAUUGAUUUGUUCCAUAAUCCUUCUAAUAUCGGAUGCACUAGUAGUUCCUUUAUCCUCUGGCUUAGUCUUAAAAGGUGAAGCUAUGACUAUGGUUCCAUUAAUAUUCUUUUCUAUCUUAGCUUCAGGAGGAUGAAUGGAUUCCAUAACAAUGUUGUCACUAGUUUUCCAUAUCUUAGCUUUUGUAGAGGUGUUGUUGAUAUGCUUACAAGGAUAAUUUGGAUAUUCCUCUUGUUUGAAGAGUUCAAACCAAAUCCAAAACUUAAUAUUUUUCUUUUCUUGUCUUAAGUAGGCAUAGAACUCUUCUUGGUAAAUGGUUCUAAUGACCUUAGGGAUAGUGCUAAAGAACCAAUCAUUUCUUUGCUUAUUGACUUCAAAAUAGAAGUCCUUUCUUAAGAGAUCCUUGUUGAUCUCAAAGUCCUCAUCACUUAGGCUUAUUGUGUUAAUCAUCUAGGAAUAGGUAGGAGACAUAACAGGGGACUCAUCCUGUUGGGAUUCCUGAGUAGACUCAUUUUCCUGAGAGUAAAAUGGUCUAGCCACAUUGGUGUAACUUCUGACACCUGUUAGCUUAACGUUCUUAGGAUUUCCUGAGCUGGAUCCUUCUUCUUCCCUAGUGGUUCUAACUGGGAUGGAAGAGCUUGAAGCUCUAGAGGGUUCAUAAACAGAAACUCUAGGGCUGUUAGAAUGUCUGAAAGAUUUGGAAAAAACGAGUUCUCCUCUUCCAUCUGGAUAUUGAACUAUUUGUUCAAUACUUUCAGAACGCUGUGCUAUGGCUGGAACAGCAUUAGCAAAAUGCCAAUUUUCAGGGAAAUCAACAUCUUUCCACAAGAUCUUCUUGGGGAUGAUGAAAUCUGACUUAUCUAGCAUAUCUGAGUGAAAGUAAGUGGUCUCACCUUUAGGACUGGUGCAAAGAGCCCCAGAUCCAACGCUUGUGUUCAUGCUCUUAUAGGCAAACCUGGUUAUGAUUGAAACAGGACUGUUUCCUGGUUUGAUCUUAAAGCCAUGGGUCUUAAUAUGCAGGACAACGGAAUCUAAGAUGUCUGCAUCUUUUAAUCUAACUGUGAAGUUAGGAUAGCACUGGAAAUAAACUGGGCCAUCAUUCAGUCCAGCUUGGACUGCACCUAUAAUAGAAUCUCGAUAUUCGAGAUGCCUAUUAUCCCUUAAACACAUGACAAUAGCGGUGUUUAAACCUAAUCUUGUCAAAGGCUUAGCUGCUACUUGAAUCAUACCAAAGUGUAUGAAAUUAUAGUCAUCUUUCUUAUGCUUUUCAAUGGAUCUGUUAUCUAGAAGUCUUAUGACUUGGUCGUCUUGUUCUAAACUGACUGUCAUUUCAGAGGUCUUAAUGGUAUAAUCUGUGAAGAACUUAAAGGUUCCUUUCUUAUAAAUUUCUUGAUUAGACACCUUGGGUAACUUCCAAUCAUCUAAAUCAUUUUGGAUCUUAGGAUAAUUGAUCUCUUCACUGUUUACAACAGUAUCUUGAGAAUCACUGGAUCUCCUAGACAUGGUUCUGAAAAUUGAACUCAUUUUAGGGUUUUUGAUCUAGAGCCUAAUAGCAGAUUGACAAACCUUAUGAGACAUCACCCCAACCCUCUUACAGCCUAACAAACGCCUAUCCACGGCUAACAACGGCUCAACCGGCAGGGCUCGCGCUCCUAGGCACACUACUACCUAUCCUAGGAUAGGCCAAGAACACCCAAAACAAGACCCAACUUCCCUCCCACAUGGCUCUGAUACCAUAGACACCCAGGACAAGGUCACAUGCAAUGAAAACAGGAAUUAUGCCAUGAUUCAAAACAAAAAAGAGGGUUAGAAAAUACAAAAGAUAUCCAACAAUGAAAUUUAAAGAGAAGGAACCAAAAAACUUGUUAGUUCAUAAUAAGCUUAAAACCGACCAUGUAGGCGGUACAAAAUAAAAAACAUAAAACCGACCAUUUAGGCGGUACAAAAUAAAAAACAUAAACUUAAAAAUAAAGCUUAAUUAAAACCAUCCAUAUAGGAGGUAAUCAAAACAUACUUAUAUUAUAUAUAAGGAGAAAUAUCUUACAAUGAACAAAGGUAGGAAAGCUUGAAGGGGUUACAUGAUGAGAGAGAAAGAAGAGAGAAGGGAGAGCAUAAGAGCCUAAAUUGAACGUGCUUACAAAUGAGGACCGAGCCUCCUUAAAUAGGCAAAAAAGGAAUCUUGAAUAGUAACCAUGAACAGUAGACCCGUGCUUGAAUAGUGAAUAGUGAAUAGUGAAUAGUAAGAUUCACUUUUAUACCGAAAUCCCCCGAAACACCCUUUUUCGGCUGAGAAGACUUCUGGCAAGCUGCUUUAUAUUGUGUAGACACAUGCUUGCUGCUUUUGAAAUAGAAACUGCAAGGCUUGUAAAAAAAAACUCUUGAUGGAAGACAAAAAGGCUGAUGAUUACUUAGAUUUUCUUAUUGGAGGAAGGAUUCCUUCACAGUCAUCACCAUUGUCUGGAAGGUAGCUUGUUGAAUCGUCAGACUCUGCAUAAGAAUUUUCUUGGGAGAAGCUUGAGCUUCCUUCUUCAAGGAUUUUCUGAAACUCUUGAGGGGUCUUAGCUGCUGCGAGCAUGGCUUGUAACUGUUGCUUUUUGAGGAGAAACUGAGACAUAUCAUCACUGGCUGAGACUUGUAAGGGGUUCUUGAGGAAAUACUGCUUGACUGCAUUAGUAGAUGCAUCAUUUUUCAAUGCAUCCCACCAUUUAGUUUUAAAAGUCCUUCCCAAAUAUGGAAAGACUGCUAAUUCGUCUGUAAUAAUAAUAUAGUCCCACUGGACUAUCCAAGCCAGGACAAAAUUGCUGAAAAAGAAUAGUAAAUGGGGAAAAGCUGAAAGUUCUCUGGGAAUAUUAAAAGAACUUCUGAAUAGCUCAAAGCCAUCCAAAAUGGGAUUAGGAAGAAUCUUAAUAGUUGGGCCAUAAUAAGUCCACCAACUGUAGAACCAAAAUGGGAAAGAGGAAAGCUGGUUCUUAGAUGGAAAAUAGAACAUCCAUGAAUGAUGGAAGUCUCUAUUCUGGAUCAGAAAAGCAUUAAACCAUGCUCUCUGAUAAUCCCAAUAAUUAAAAAACCUUGGCUUAGAUGGUUCAAAAAAUUCCCUUGAAAGAUUAGGAUUUCCACCCCAUUGCUUGACUGUAAGGAUCUUAUAGAUAUGGCAGGUGGAGAAUGCCAAGCCCAUAUUGCUGAAUUUAUUAACGUUAUGCUUAAUCUUAACAGAACCAGUUUCUAUAAGGACUGCUUCAUAAAACUCUCUUGUUUUUAAAAUAUCACCAGAGGGAUAAUGAAGAUUUUCUUGAAAUGCUUUUGCAGCAAUCUCUCUGGGGUUUUCAGAGAAAAAUUCUCUUUCAAUAACUAAAAGAGAUUGAUUUAAAUCAUUUUGCCAAUAUCUUGAUUUUGUUGAAAGAGGUGUGGGGUUGGCAACCACCACAAUUUGUUUGCUUGAAAAAGAAGAGCUUGUUGCUAAUUCCUUUUAAGAGGGAUUAGCCAUAGUAACCUGCUUAAAGGUCUGAGACCCUGAGGUAGCUGGAUAUUGUGUUGACUUAACCGGUUUAGAAUGAUCAGAAGGAUCAUAGUAUAAGGUCAACAUUUUGUUAGGCAUAUGGCUGGAUUCAUGCAUAGGUUUAGAAGAAUGAAGCUUUGCCAAAAGUUGUGCUUCUUCCUCUUCAACUUGUUGACUCCAAAGCAUUUUAUGGGUAGAAGGAGAUUGGUUAGCUUGACUGGAUUGGGGUUUUUGAGAGCUAGAAGCUUGGGUAUUCUUUUUAGGGGCCAUGAUCUCAUGAACCCUGCAAAAUUCACGAGAUAGCUGAUUAGGGUUGAAAUAAUCUCCUUUAAUAAAGUAACUUUGAAACUUAGAUUUUAAAAUAAUAUACCAGUUAAUUAAAUCAUACUUAAAAGUUAUAUAUUUAAUUUUUUCAAAAUCUUUGAAAAUAAUUUUUAAUAAAAAUUCUUGAUUCAAAAUCCCAAUUUGAAAUUUUGAAAUGCAUAAAGAAAUGCUUAAAAUGUCAUUAUGCAUGAACUGGUUGCCUAUUAGCUUACUUGGGACAUCUAACCCAACAAGGUUAAUUUCUUGGUUAAAAGGAGUGAUGCUUAUAGUUGGAUUAGCAAAUUCAAAAAGAAUUUCCUUAUCAAAAAGCUUAGUUUUUAUACCUUGGUUAUCUACCCACAAGGGAUAAAUAGAGCUUAAGAAGGGUAUUCCUAGAAGGGCUUUUUCAUUAAGAUCCUUAACAAGGAUAAAGGUUUACUUAAUACAGACGUCAUGGUUACGGAUAUGAACAUUUGUUAAUUUAUACUUAAUGGCAAGUCUUUUGCCAUUGGCUCCAAAUAGAGACUGACUAGUCUCUUCGCAUAAAGGAAUAGGUACAAGACCUUCUUGAAGGCAAUUUUCAGCUGCUCCUGAAUCAAUCAAAGCAAUAAUAUCAAAGAUAAAUUUAUUUUUGACUACUAUAGUAAGGGAGACUUCCCACCUCUGGAAGAUAACCCUACUCACAAUAUUCAAAAAAGUAUCUGUCUUAUUAUCAUUAACAUGAGAAGAUUCUGGAAUAUCCAUAUGGAUUUCUUGGUUGUCAAUUCUAUUGAUUUGAUCUUGGAGAUCAGAGAGACCUAGACUUAUGAAUUGUCUUAACUCCUUAAUCUCUUUUUUAUGCUGCUUAACUUCUUCAUGAAGUUCCUUAAUGCUGACAUCCUUGGGAGACUGCUGGUCAAACCUGUUUAAGAUAUCGUUAAGGUUAUAAGGAUUAACAGUCUUCUUGGCUUCUACCUUAACAACAGAUUUCUUAAAAACUUCAUAAAGAUUUUGCUUAGUCUUUUCAUCUUCAACUUUUCUUAAAGUAUCUAGGAUGAAUUCCUGAUCUUGGCUUAUGACAUUUAUGGUUUUAGAACGACAAUUACAAUUACCCUUAAUACAAACAUCUUGGUCACUAGAAGAUUGGCUAGAAACAUCGCCACUGCUAUCUAGUUGAUUAAUAUCAUCUUCAUUAUCUGAAUCAGUCCUUGAUUCAGAAUCUGAGGAGUUUAACAUUACCUUACAAAGCAUAUUUUUUAGGUCAUCUGAAACACUUAAGUUAUUAAUCUUUUGCUUAACUCUACAAUCUUUCUUAUAAUGGCCAACUUUGCCACAUUUAAAACAGAUAAUUGGCUUGACGUCUAAAAGAGUUUCUACCUUUUUCUGGGUAUCUUUGUUGACCUUUCUUUGGACGUGCCUUGAAUGCUUAGUAUCAUUCAUCCUAUAGUUGUCAUGGGUACCUCUCUUACUGUGGUAAAACUUAUCUUUGCUAGGCUUCCUACUUGGUUUUUGCUUAGAGGGAGGCAUAGUUUCUUUUUGGCUGAAACCAAACUGGCUACAGAAUUAUCCAAAUUCAUUCUUGUAGAUUUUUUGUUCAUUCUUCAUUUGUUGCUUAAGCUUGAAGUCAUUGCACAACUUAAUCCCUUCAGCUGUGACAAUGCUUAUAAUCUCACCAUAGGUUAGCUUAUCAUAAGGGAUUUGACCGUUAUACUGUUCCCUUAUCUUGAUCCUAAUUCUCUCAGAGAAAAGCUUGGGUAAACCUGAGAUGAAUUUUUCUUUCCAAAAAGACUGGUUACAAUCUGACCUUAGCAUGACUUUGGUUAGGAAGACUUCCUUAUACCACCUAAAAUCAUGAAGCUUGGGACACUUAAGGUUGGUUAAGAGAUCUGCAGUUUUAUCCUUAAUUUUUGCAGGAUCUCCAAUGAAGUGCUUGGAUAUUGAGUAGAUUAAAGUACCCACUGCAUCCUCAAUAUCUUGGCCAUCUUCGUCCUUAACAACUUCAUUACUCUCAUUAAUCCUAUAGGCUUUAAGGAUACUAUUUCUAUCAUAAAAAGUGAGAUAAUUAUCCCACCAACCCUUAAGCUGACCUGUAAACCCAUCAACAAUGGUUUGAGUUACAGCAUGAUCUGGCAGUCUAUUGUUUAAUUUAUAGGUUGUACUUACCAUGGUCAUUUCUUGAAGCUUAGUGAGUAUGUUAUACUCGGUCAUACCAUCUAUGUUCCAUUCAUAGAUAGUACCACUGGUGUAUGAGGCUUGAGUAUACUGAUUUCUUUCCUCAAACUGCAUGUCAGGAAAAGUAGGCCUAGGAUAGUAAUUCCUAGUCUUAAAGGUUUCCAAGUUGUUAAUAAUUUGAUUAUGGGGUUCCUCAAACAUCUUAAUUAGUUCAUCAGCUUCUUCUUCUGAACUAAUAUCACCUUUAACCAUAUUGAUUCUUUUAUCAGGCUGAACAGUCAAAGGGGCAACAAGAUUAUCCUUAAUCUUCUGAUUAAUCCUAUCAACAAAAGCUUGGUUGAUGUGGGGAUUUUCUUGGAAUUCCUUAGAGAAUUCAAAGGACUUAGUUUUAUCAGUGCUCUUAGUGUUGUUAAUAUGCUUACAAGGAUAAUCUGGAUAUUCCUCUUGUUUGAAGAGUUCAAACCAAAUCCAAAACUUAAUAUUUUUCUUUUCUUGUCUUAAGUAGGCAUAGAACUCUUCUUGGUAAAUGGUUCUAAUGACCUUAGGGACAGUGCUAAAGAACCAAUCAUUUCUUUGUUUAUUGACUUCAGAAUAGAAGUCCUUUCUAAAGAGAUCCUUGUUGAUCUCAAAGUCCUCAUCACUUAGGCUUAUUGUGUUAAUCAUCUGGGAAUAGGUAGGAGACAUAACAAGGGACUCAUCCUGUUGGGAUUCCUGAGUAGACUCAUUUUCCUCAGAGUAAAAUGGUCUAGCCACAUUGGUGUAACUUCUGACACCUGUUAGCUUAACGUUCUUAGGAUUUCUUGAGCUAGAUCCUUCUUCUUCCCUAGUGGUUCUAACUGGGAUGGAAGAGCUUGAAGCUCUAGAGGGUUCAUAAACAGAAACUCUAGGGCUGAUAAAAUGUCUGAAAGAUUUGGAAAAAACGAGUUCUCCUCUUCCAUCUGGAUAUUGAACUAUUUGUUCAAUACUUUCAGAACGCUGUGCUAUGGCUGGAACAGCAUUAGCAAAAUGCCAAUUUUCAAGGAAAUCAACAUUUUUCCACAAGAUCUUCUUGGGGAUGAUGAAAUCUGACUUAUCUAGCAUAUCUGAGUGAAAGUAAGUGGUCUCACCUUUAGGACUGGUGCAAAGAGCCCCAGAUCCAACGCUUGUGUUCAUGCUCUUAUAGGCAAACCUGGUUAUGAUUGAAACAGGACUGUUUCCUGGUUUGAUCUUAAAGCCAUGGGUCUUAAUAUGCAGGACAACGGAAUCUAAGAUGUCUGCAUCUUUUAAUCUAACUGUGAAGUUAGGAUAGCACUGGAAAUAAACUGGGUCAUCAUUCAGUCCAGCUUGGACUGCACCUAUAAUAGAAUCUCGAUAUUUGAGAUGCCUAUUAUCCCUUAAACACAUGACAAUAGCGGUGUUUAAACCUAAUCUUGUCAAAGGCUUAGCUACUACUUGAAUCAUACCAAAGUGUAUGAAAUUAUAGCCAUCUUUCUUAUGUUUUUCAACGGAUCUGUUAUCUAGAAGUCUUAUGACUUGGUCGUCUUGUUCUAAAUUGACUGUCAUUUCAGAGGUCUUAAUGGUAUAAUCUGUGAAAAACUUAAAGGUUCCUUUCUUAUAAAUUUCUUGAUUAGACACCUUGGGUAACUUCCAAUCAUCUAAAUCAUUUUGGAUCUUAGGAUAAUUGAUCUCUUCACUGUUUACAAUAGUAUCUUGAGAAUCACUGGAUCUCCUAGACAUGGUUCUGAAAAUUGAACUCAUUUUAGGGUUUUUGGUCUAGAGCCUAAUAGCAGAUUGACAAACCUUAUGAGACGUCACCCCAACCCUCUUACAGCCUAACAAACGCCUAUCCACGGCUAACAACGGCUCAACCAGUUGGGCUCGCGCUCCUAGGCCCACUGCUACCUAUCCUAGGAUAGGCCAAGAACACCCAAAACAAGACCCAAAUUAAUCAAUUGAAGCAUGGUUGCCCUAAGGGUCUCCAAAAAGCCCGCGGCCCACGGCCUGGCCCAGGGCUGGCCCGCCACUUAAAAAUAUAUAUAUAUAUAUAUAUAUAAAAUAUUCAAUAUAUAUAACUAAUGCAAAAUAGUUACACAAAAGAGGGUCAACUCAGUUGGUGACUAGCUCUUUGCUUAUGGAUCCAUAUCCCUUUCCCUUCAAAACUCAAAAGUAUUUUUUUUUUAACCCAAUACCCACACAAGCCCGCCUAGCCCAGCCUCCGCCCAACCCAGCCCGCCCGCUCAUCUUGAGGGCCCACAGGCUGGGGCACAGGCCUUAGAUUUACCAAGGGCCCGACCCGUUGACCAGUCAACGGGCUCAGUGGCCCGCCCCGGGCUGGGCUGCUUGUUAUGCUUGUUAUUUAGAGCCAUUGCGGGCUUUAGGUAUAUGAGCCACAGUUACUAAAAUUGCCCAGAAACAAUCAUACUGGUGGAUAUAUAGAUAGCAUUUCAUCCCACCAGACUGUCUUGAUUUUAAAACAAAAUUAGCUUAUGCCAUGAACCAUAAUUUCCAUGAUAUCAUCAUCCAUUCUGCUCUAAUGCAUAACCAGCAGCUUUAGUACCCUAUAUAUAGCUUUGGAAAAUGGUUUUGAAUCAUCACCUGAUGCAUAUUCUUGAACCAUAUUGUCCACCUCAAUUGAACUGCACUCUUGUUCUUACUACUCAUGAGUUUCUUCAUCCUCGAUACACCAUCCCACUUUCCCAAGUCUGCAUAAAGAUUUGAAAGCAAGACAUAGUUCCCCGUAUCGUCUGGUUCAAGCUCUAGCAGAUGCUCCAUUGCAAUGGCUGCAAUCUCGAGAUUGCCGUGAGUUCUGCAGGAACUCAAUAACGAACCCCAAAUAGCCGAAUCUGGCUUCAUUGGCAUCUUCUUUAUGAGUUCAAGAGCCAGAUCAAGGCACCCAGAAAAGACCAAGAAGAUUGACGAAACAACCAUAAUGCUCAACCCCUGGUUCUAUAUUGUCAUCUCUUUACAUUGACUCAAAGUACUUCAAUCCCUCAUUCCAAAGGCCAGCAUGGGCACAAGCUGAUAAAAAGACCAACAAAGGUGAUGAAUUAUUGCUGAAAAUCCCUGGUCCUAUAUUGUCAUCUCUUUCAGUCAUUCCCUCAAGAGAAUUUUCAAUCACUGUAUUGGACUUUGGCCCAAAUUUGAACGCAUGCCCAUGAACUUGUUUUCCCUGAUCAUAACACAAGCCCUGCACAUGAUUUAACAACAAAUGAGAAGGUGAAUUUGUCAGGAAAUGGGAUUUUCACCAUGGGAGUGUCCAACCAUUUGCUUGUAAACAGUGAUUGCUAGGAUGUGACCUUUGUUAUGCUUAUAAGCUCUGAUCAUUGCAUUGUACAAGAAAGCAUUUGGGUCAGCCACCCUUUUGAAUAACAAAUUUGCAUACUCUGCUUCUCCAUGGUGAUUACACACAUCCACCAUUUUUGUCACCAAAAAGCUACUUUGUGAGAGUGAAAACUUGACUAUGUGGGCAUGGAUUUUCUUCAAUUCUACCAUGUUUGGGCAGUUUUUCAAGAUGGGUACAAACAUAUCUGCCAUUUCUCUGAUUUUCAAGGCCCUGAGCUUCCUGGCCAUUGAUGAUCACGUGGCCAGUGACUUCCAGUUUGAAAAUUUGUCAAGUUCUUGAGGCUGUCAUGGUCCCAAAGUUUCUGACAGUGAUUUCAAAUGGUUAUACUCCAUUCUGGGGUUUCUGACAGCCUUCAACUUUGAACCUUCAUUAAGGAAAACUCAACAAGGAAUCAAACACUUUGCAUCUGAUUAAAAGGGUGAUUGAAAACAUGACGUUGGAAGAAUGGUCUUGUUUAGGAAAAAUAAAAUAUAACUAUUUUUGGAUAAAAAUACAAUUUAUUAAUUUUCAAAAUCUUAUAUCUCAUCAAACACUUGUUAGAUAAAAAAAAAAAUAGAUUAAAUAUGUCAAAAUGAGGUUAUACGUAUAAUUUUCAGUAAAUAAAAAUAUUUUUUUCAAAUAUAAUUAUGGUCCCCUGGUUUUAAUCAAACAUGUCUAUUAACUUAAAAACCCUAAUAAUUAUGACUCAUAUCAUUUAAUUUUCUAAUUGAUAAUUAGUGAAAUUUUUUUAUCAAAAGUCUCGUCUCUUUUGAAUUAUUAUUAUUAUUAUUAUUAUUACUUGGUAUGGAAACAAAGGUAACUAAAAAAUAUAAUAAUAUUUUUUGUUUCAUUCACAAUUUGAGGCGAAAAAAUUUAUUAUUGAAACGAACUUAAGUAUUUAGAAGGUAACUCGAAAACCUUAUUUUGAUUCUCAUUCCUCUUGUUUAAUUUUUUUACUUCCUUUGCCAAUAAUUUAAUAAAUAUGUCAUAAAGUUGACCAAUUAAAUUGAUUUUAUAUUUUUUUUACAAAAAUAAUAAUUAAAAUAAAUCAAAAUUUUUAUAAUACUUUAUGACUAAAUAUAUAUUAUAUAAUACAAUCCAAAUCAUGGUAAUUUCAUUAAAUGUUUAUCAAUUUGGCUUUAUUCAAACCAAGUAAGAAUUUUAGUAAUCUAGAAUUAAAUCCAUAAUUUCAGGUUUCUUCAAAUUAAACCUAUAAAAUUCAAAAAAAAAACACAUUAACUAUAAAUAAUGAAAUUUUACAUUGUACUAAGCUUUCUCCACAAAAGGAAUUUAUCAAUAUGGAUUGACAUCAAGUCCAUGAAUGGCAUUAUAGUAAAGCUCCCAAAUUUAGAAUUUUUUACCAUAAUUUGAUUAACAGAGAAUAUGGUUUUCUUUUUCCCUUUUUGAUCUAUUUUGCCAUAUUUGAGAGAGAUUUGUUUCCUCCCUAUCUUUGGAUGGUAGAGAAUCCAGCAUCAUCAAUGAUUACCAUUCUAUAUAAAUCAUCUCUUUUCACCUAAUUGCUAUAGCAGCUAUCAAUCAUACCCUAAGGUAUGUUUCUCUUUUCUGGUUUUUUUUUUUUUUUUUUGUGAAUAAUUUCUUAUAGCAGUAUUUAAAGAGGUAUCAUAUAUUUGUGAUCAAAAUUAUUUGUCUUCCUAUGCAGGAGAUGUCUAAGCCCCAAGUAUUCCUCCAAUGCCUCCUGCUCCUCCUGUGUGCAGAGCUCUUCCAUUUCACACUUGCUGAUGUUGGCGUGGCAGCCCAAUACAGACCCCCAUAUCUACGUAAACCCCUUUCACAAUCAAAAGCUAUUAACCUUGUUAAUUGACCAGGGUGCAACUUAGGCAGGUUAACUCAAACCAACCCGAAUUAGGUUUGAAUUAAGUUUUUUCAACUCGAAUUCAAAUUGGGUUGAAUUCAACGAAGUUUGGACAUACUUAACCCUAACCCAGUUUAAUAUUCAUUCAAUUUGUUUUAGAUUUUAACAUUUAGAAAAACUUGAAUUUAAGCAAGUUUGGAUAGUCAUUUUUAAUAUUCAAGUUGGAUUUAGGUUAAGCUUUUUUAACUCGAAUUCAAUUUAGGUUGAACCCAACCAAGUUUGAACAAACCUAAUCCUAACCAUAUUUAAUAUUUUUUUUAAAUUUAUAAUACAUAAUAUUCAUUUUGUUUUAGAUUUUAUGAAAAAUAUCUUAUUAUGAUUAUAGUUUAUAUAUUUUUUAAUUUUUCUAGAAGACAAUUUUUUUUUAUAAACUUAAAAUUUUGUGUUAUUCACUAUUUAAAUUUUAGUAUAUAUACUUUUUAUUUAUUUAUUUAUUUUUUUAAAUGAUGUAUCUUGAAUCAUAGAACGUGACCAACUUUGAGUUUAAUAUAACUAAUUUGAGUAUAAUUUGAUCAAGUACCUUUAGAAACUAUGUUAAGUUUGAGUUGAUUGUUUAUUAAUUCCAAUUGACUUUGGGUUAGCCAUUAAUCCUAUGCAACUAGCCCAAGGUCGGAUUUAUGGUUAAGCCAAGUUUAACCGGAUCACCCUCAAAAAAUGAGAUUAGAUUAAAGUUGAGUUUGGAUUAGCCAUCAAUCUGAUUCAAUCUGUCCAAGUUGCAACCCGAUGCUAAUUAACCUCCAUAACCGAAAUUAAACAAAGGUGUUUGCGGGUUUUAUGAAUGCAGCCACAGCCUGUUCAGGAAACGAUCCAUCCCCGUUCCCAUCAAGCAACUUAUUUGCAGCAGCGGGGGAGGGAGCGUGGGACAAUGGAGCAGCUUGU